Long non-coding RNA from Triticum dicoccoides, 1129 nucleotides. RefSeq lists it as uncharacterized. The record is from RefSeq and is a predicted model, not a curated record. Lineage: Eukaryota; Viridiplantae; Streptophyta; Magnoliopsida; Poales; Poaceae. The transcript has 4 exons.
UCCACCCCUCCCCAUCCCACAGCCCCGCCGCCAGCAAACCCCAGAACCCUAGAUCUAUGCCGUAAAUCAACCAAUAAUGGAGAGGGAAAAGGUGAACUUGCUAUAGCAAAAUUCAGAGUUUGGGACUUCUCCAUAGAGCAGAGGGAGGGGAAUCAGUUUUGCAAAAAAGAAAAGAAAAUGGAUGCGGGUGCUGGUAAGGGGGCACACAGGACUCACCAUGCUGUUUCUGUAGAGGAGUCCAAAUGCUGAAGCCUCAAGAACCCAUCCUACAGAAACAACACAAAUGCAGCCGACUGGGGGGAGCUUCAUGAAUGUAUCCAGCGAUGCACCUAUGUCAUACAUGCAACUGCUGCUCGCUGCUGAACAAGAGGGUGCAAAAUAUUUGUCGUCUCAAUCACAGGAAGAACGCCUAGUUCGUACCGAGGAGUCUUACAUAAACUUAUGUAAAAAGAAAAAUGGGAAAAAUUGUGUCAAACUUAUAUACUAUUAUUUAUGUCCUGGCUGAUAAAAAAUUCUCUUAUUGUCAAAUGCAUUCAGAAUGGCAUGUUCAGGAUAACUGGCCGCUAUGGAUGAGGAACAUCAGAUGAACCAAGGCAACCAACUCCUGAUAACACAGAGCGAGUUUUGGUUGAACAGAAUCAGGAGCCUUCCCCGUUUGUUGACAACACAAAUAUAGAAGGACUGCAUGAUUUGAUCUGGGAAACUGAUGAACCUGACUGUUUACAGAACCAGCCUUCAGACAAUGAAGCUGACAGUGAUAGUGAAUCAGAUCAUAACCUUGGACAAGAUCAAAGAGAAAGUGAUAUGGCUGUUGAUAUUGUGGAACAACAACAUAACAGUGAGACAAGAGUCGAAGUUGAACAACUUUCACAAGAUGACAUCCUCAUAUUCCUUGAAAAUGAAAGCAUAAAAAAUGCUCAGAGUUGCAACCAGGAAGUUUGUAGCGAUCAUGUACCAGUUAUUGGCAUGAUUUUUGACUACCAAGAAGCAGCUUAUGGCUUCUACAAUGAAUAUGCAUGCAUAUGUGGUUUCUCUGUAAAGAGGGCAGCAUCCUUUUGUUCCAAAAAGGAAGGUGGCAAUGCACCAACAAGAAUCACUUUCAAGUGUAAUCGAUCUGGACGUAGAAUUG